GACGGACGCUGGCGGCGUGCUUAACACAUGCAAGUCGAACGGAAAGGCCCUAGCUUUCUGGGGUACUCGAGUGGCGAACGGGUGAGUAACACGUGGGUGACCUGCCCUGCACUCUGGGAUAACCCCGGGAAACUGGGUCUAAUACCGGAUAGGACCGUGCCCUAGUGUGUGCGGUGGAGAGUUUUUCGGUGCAGGAUGAGCCCGCGGCCUAUCAGCUUGUUGGUGGGGUAAUGGCCUACCAAGGCGGCGACGGGUAGCCGGCCUGAGAGGGUGUACGGCCACAUUGGGACUGAGACACGGCCCAGACUCCUACGGGAGGCAGCAGUGGGGAAUAUUGCACAAUGGGCGGAAGCCUGAUGCAGCGACGCCGCGUGGGGGAUGACGGCCUUCGGGUUGUAAACCCCUUUCGGCAGGGACGAAGCGUUUGUGACGGUACCUGCAUAAGAAGCACCGGCUAACUACGUG
This 465-nucleotide ribosomal RNA is filed under the name uncultured bacterium. RNAcentral describes it as "partial 16S ribosomal RNA". It matches the Rfam family "Bacterial small subunit ribosomal RNA", at positions 28 to 507 of the family's 1533-position model. The record is from RNAcentral.